GUCGGGAGUGGUAGUGUACUUCUGUAAUCCAACUACUCGAAGGUUGAGAGGAUGUUUUAGGGGGUGGGAGUUCUGGGAUUGGAUUUCCCACGUUGACUAAGCGUCCAACCUUUGAUUUGGAUCCCUUUGGGGAAGGGCGAAGUAGCCAGGCUGAAUGCAAAUAGAGGAAAAAUCGGCCCAAAAGUCACCGAGUUGAGAAUCGUGAGUUCAAAUCUAAGGGGUGGGAGUUUAAUUUCACCUCGUCCAAACAAGAACACACCUGUACCUU
This 268-nucleotide non-coding RNA is filed under the name Pediculus humanus corporis (human body louse). Lineage: Eukaryota; Metazoa; Arthropoda; Insecta; Psocodea; Pediculidae. The record is from RNAcentral.